This 496-nucleotide ribosomal RNA is filed under the name uncultured bacterium. Its description in RNAcentral is "partial 16S ribosomal RNA". It matches the Rfam family "Bacterial small subunit ribosomal RNA", at positions 29 to 507 of the family's 1533-position model. The record is from RNAcentral.
AUGCACGCUGGCGGCGUGCCUAAUACAUGCAAGUCGAGCGAACAGAUAAGGAGCUUGCUCCUUUGACGUUAGCGGCGGACGGGUGAGUAACACGUGGAUAACCUACCUAUAAGACUGGGAUAACUUCGGGAAACCGGAGCUAAUACCGGAUAACAUAUUGAACCGCAUGGUUCAAUAGUGAAAGGCGGCUUUGCUGUCACUUAUAGAUGGAUCCGCGCCGUAUUAGCUAGUUGGUAAGGUAACGGCUUACCAAGGCAACGAUACGUAGCCGACCUGAGAGGGUGAUCGGCCACACUGGAACUGAGACACGGUCCAGACUCCUACGGGAGGCAGCAGUAGGGAAUCUUCCGCAAUGGGCGAAAGCCUGACGGAGCAACGCCGCGCGAGUGAUGAAGGUCUUCGGAUCGUAAAACUCUGUUAUCAGGGAAGAACAAAUGUGUAAGUAACUGUGCACAUCUUGACGGUACCUGAUCAGAAAGCCACGGCUAACUACGUG